This 73-nucleotide transfer RNA is filed under the name Parachlamydiaceae bacterium. RNAcentral's name for it is "tRNA-Met". It matches the Rfam family "tRNA". From Rfam's summary of the family: Transfer RNA (tRNA) molecules are approximately 80 nucleotides in length. Their secondary structure includes four short double-helical elements and three loops (D, anti-codon, and T loops). The record is from RNAcentral. Lineage: Bacteria; Pseudomonadati; Chlamydiota; Chlamydiia; Parachlamydiales; Parachlamydiaceae.
GGCGGCAUAGCUCAGUCGGUAGAGCAGCGGAAUCAUAAUCCGUUUGUCAUCGGUUCAAGUCCGGUUGCCGCUA